This 76-nucleotide transfer RNA is filed under the name Calditrichota bacterium. RNAcentral describes it as "Calditrichaeota bacterium tRNA-Gly". It matches the Rfam family "tRNA". From Rfam's summary of the family: Transfer RNA (tRNA) molecules are approximately 80 nucleotides in length. The record is from RNAcentral. Lineage: Bacteria; Pseudomonadati; Calditrichota.
GCGGGUGUAACUCAGUUGGUAGAGUAUCAGCUUCCCAAGCUGAGGGUCGCGGGUUCGAGUCCCGUCACCCGCUCAA